Molecule: unclassified non-coding RNA, 23 nt
Filed under: Mus musculus (house mouse)
Lineage: Eukaryota; Metazoa; Chordata; Mammalia; Rodentia; Muridae
Description: oocyte_clustered_small_RNA6492
Source: RNAcentral
UUUGAUGUAAGAUUUUGUGGUUC